Long non-coding RNA from Gasterosteus aculeatus aculeatus (three-spined stickleback), 768 nucleotides. NCBI's taxonomy places the organism in Eukaryota, Metazoa, Chordata, Actinopteri, Perciformes, Gasterosteidae. The record is from Ensembl.
AUUGAAUUGAACGAGAACAUGUCUUCCUGUUUCCCCGUAGCCAGAUGUUUGUGCUCUGUGCACCAGCGCUCACAUUGAGAACGUUUUGUUGGUGGGAGCCAUCACCCAAAACGAGGAGUUUGGAGAGUGCGCACUGUGUCAAGUGGCUGCGGAGGCGGGUGCACAUUGGAGAACACCCAAACGGAUGAAACGGACCAAAACGGACGUGCUGCUUCACAGAGACAAACGCAGUAGAUUCAGCCGGGUCGAAAAGCAGAGGACACGAGCCACAGGCCACACUUCACAGGCUCUGUUUAAUGUGGUCAUGGAGGAGCAAAGCAGUUGCCAUCGCGUUGCCUUCCAGGGAAAUAUCAGCGCUCUGCAACUCUCAGCUCAGCGGAGGGAUUAGCCCGGCCUUGGAUUUAAAAGGGGUGGGGGCGCGUUUUUACCCUACAGGGGGUGGCAUGUUUCUAUUUAUGGCGCGAGCUGCAUGAACUCAAGAUUGGUGUCUGCAGGCGUCCGCUGGAGAGUCUCGGGCCCCUAUUUUUGACAACAAAAAAAAAUCAAAAUGCCGCGGUUAAAAAACGUGCAUCAGCACAAAAUGAGCCACUCGCAGGUUUUCUGACGUCGCUGACGUGCGUUUGUUUCAUCCACCCAGCGUCAUGAAAGAAAACCCUUUUCUAGUUAAGCUCUUCUGAGAUCAUCGGCUCCCCGGGGCCCCGAUGAGACUUCCACCAAUCGUGCCACAGAGAAGUGGCGAUUGCCCAAUUACACCCCAGCUGUCCACGC